This 120-nucleotide ribosomal RNA is filed under the name uncultured bacterium. RNAcentral describes it as "partial 16S ribosomal RNA". It matches the Rfam family "Bacterial small subunit ribosomal RNA", at positions 28 to 156 of the family's 1533-position model. The record is from RNAcentral.
GACGAACGCUGGCGGCGUGCCUAACACAUGCAAGUCGAACGGGGGUAGCAAUACCCCAGUGGCGAACGGGUGCGUAACACGUGAGGAACAUUCCUUCCGGUGGGGGAUAGCCGGCCUAAC